UGGGGAAUAUUGGACAAUGGGCGAAAGCCUGAUCCAGCCAUGCCGCGUGUGUGAAGAAGGUCUUCGGAUUGUAAAGCACUUUAAGUUGGGAGGAAGGGCAUUAACCUAAUACGUUAGUGUUUUGACGUUACCGACAGAAUAAGCACCGGCUAACUCUGUGCCAGCAGCCGCGGUAAUAAAGAGGGUGCAGGCGUUAAUCGGAAUUACUGGGCGUAAAGCGCGCGUAGGUGGUUUGUUAAGUUGGAUGUGAAAUCCCCGGGCUCAACCUGGGAACUGCAUUCAAAACUGACUGACUAGAGUAUGGUAGAGGGUGGUGGAAUUUCCUGUGUAGCGGUGAAAUGCGUAGAUAUAGGAAGGAACACCAGUGGCGAAGGCGACCACCUGGACUAAUACUGACACUGAGGUGCGAAAGCGUGGGGAGCAAACA
RNAcentral lists this ribosomal RNA (427 nucleotides) under uncultured bacterium. RNAcentral describes it as "partial 16S ribosomal RNA". It matches the Rfam family "Bacterial small subunit ribosomal RNA", at positions 355 to 774 of the family's 1533-position model. The record is from RNAcentral.